RNAcentral lists this long non-coding RNA (459 nucleotides) under Vigna radiata. Its description in RNAcentral is "long non-coding RNA (VRAD_LNC006658)". Lineage: Eukaryota; Viridiplantae; Streptophyta; Magnoliopsida; Fabales; Fabaceae. The record is from RNAcentral.
GCCUUAAAUAGGAUGAAAACCCUUGUUUUGAAAAUAUUUACCUUGAGUUAGGUUGAGAAUAAUUGUAUGGUAUUGAAAAGGUUUAAGUUUAGGGUUGUUUGGGGAAUUUGAAAGGCAAAAGAAAGGCAUUGAGCUCAAGUGUUGAAAGAAAGAAAAAACAUGGGAAAAGAAAAAGAAGGAAAGAAAAAGCAUGAAAGAUGAGCUCAAUGUAAAAAUGAAAGAAAAGGGAAGAAGUUGGGAAUGAGUGAGAUUGGUUAAAAAGAGAGUUUGUGCUUGAACUUUGAAUGUUAAAAUAGCUCUCUUAACUCAAGGAUUUUGUGCUCCAGAAAAACCAAUUUUUCUUGUUAGCCCAGCAUCAUUAUAAACCUUGAAAAAGUCCUUGUGGUGACAUUUGUAUGUGAGAAUGUUGAUUGUGUUAGAUGAAGGGCAGUUUUGUUUCAGGUGACAUGUGAAUAGUAG